RNAcentral lists this ribosomal RNA (136 nucleotides) under Klebsiella variicola. RNAcentral describes it as "partial 23S ribosomal RNA". It matches the Rfam family "Bacterial large subunit ribosomal RNA", at positions 2795 to 2925 of the family's 2925-position model. The record is from RNAcentral. Lineage: Bacteria; Pseudomonadati; Pseudomonadota; Gammaproteobacteria; Enterobacterales; Enterobacteriaceae.
UGCCCCGAGAUGAGUUCUCCCUGAGACUAUAAGUCUCCUGAAGGAACGUUGAAGACGACGACGUUGAUAGGCCGGGUGUGUAAGCGCAGCGAUGCGUUGAGCUAACCGGUACUAAUGAACCGUGAGGCUUAACCUU